Perognathus longimembris pacificus (Pacific pocket mouse) is the source of this 2561-nucleotide long non-coding RNA. RefSeq lists it as uncharacterized. The record is from RefSeq and is a predicted model, not a curated record. The transcript has 3 exons. Lineage: Eukaryota; Metazoa; Chordata; Mammalia; Rodentia; Heteromyidae.
UUUGCUUUUAUAAAAGCAAAAUAAUUUUCUUCCUGGGAUCUGUCUUGAAGCCGCCCCUUUUCCCCCUGAAGAAUUAGAACCAAGAAUGCAAACAUGGGCUUCUUCACAGAAAGGAAAGGGAAAAGUGAUAUGUAGACUCCUCAAUAACAUCAUACUUUAUGAAGAGACUGUAGCUUUCGUCCCCAAGAAGCCUUGUAUUGAGCAUAUUUAAUGGGUGAUGUGAAAUAUGGGGCAGAGUCUUUUUGUAAGAAGCAAGUUUCUGAUGAGACAAAACUGGAUUAGACCAAGGCUAAUGCUAGGUAUCAGACCACAAAGUCAUCCAAUUUAUCAUCCUUUCCCCAAGGCCAAGUCAUUUUUAAGUGGUUUGGAAAGACUUUGAAGGGGUAGAAAAGCUUGAGAACAAUUUAAAAACUUGUCCCCUGCAGGGCAGUGUGUUAAAAGCUAGUUUUGCCAAAAGGCUAAGGCUGUGAUUACUGCCCCCCCCAUAACCUUUGAAAAAAUAAUCUUAAAGUACCCCAUUAACAGAGAUUACAGGGUAAGGCUACUAAACACAGAAGUAUUUAAAAGAGAACAGGGAGACAAAAAUGAAUGCUUGUGGGAAGAUGCAGUUGCUUACCCCAGAAUCAUAGAAACUUUUGAAAUAGACAUGCGAAGUCUGUAGGGAAAAUUGAACUCUUUGUAGAGCUAUUGGAAUUGUUUAUUAUGAAGCUUCACUUGAAUAGUCCUUAAAAUGCUCCCUUUUCGGACUGACUUUUUGAAAGAAGCAUGUGAGUGUGAGUGUGAUCUGAAAGAUGAGCUCUUAAAAAGAUCUCUCUCUAGAAUGAUGUUUGUCUUAGACUGUGGAGGUGACAGGAUGGUGUCAACAGUGGAACAUGGGCAUCACUGUCAGUUCAUCUGUAUUUUGAGGUGGGGCUGACCAACCAUAUCUGAGUCCAAAAAUUCACAGACAGACAGCUCUGAACUGUGAGCUCAUCUGAUUAUGUUGAGAUGUGCAGACUAGGGCAAAUAGAAGAAUGAGUUGGAUGGAGCCCAGGGACUUUCAUUGAUGUCUGUGGAAUUAAUGUUAAGUAAUUUAGAAUCCCUACUGGUGGGAAGGAAUUCAUUAGGUUCCACUGUGAAUGUCAGUGUUAGAGCCAGCCUGACAUUGAACAUAGACUAGGAGUAGGAUGAUCUGGGUUUCAGAGUUUGCCUUUUAUGAACCUGAAAUGUCUAGUGUUGGUUGCUUAAUGUUUGUGCAAGGCUUGUUGAGAGCUGUCAAAUGUAUCAUAUAUUGGGAGAACUUUGGAAACAUAUAAUAUUGAUUGUAUUGUUAUUAGUAAGUCUUAAUAGUAAAAGUGAAGUUUAAAGGAUAACAGCCAUCCUCAACCCUCAACACCCAUCAACUCAUUUCCUCUUUAGCAUUACUUAGGUUUUCUUGUCAGUACAUGCAAAGCUCCUAUCCACGUCUCUGGCUUUGAGGAAGUCAGUUGAAUGAAAGACUUCAGAGUUUAAAAGAUAAAUUGUUGGUUUAUAAUGGACCUGACAGUCACUUGCCUUAUUCUAAGGGCAAUUAUGUGAAGUACUUAAACCAACCGCAAAUUAACUCACUGUAUUUGUGACUGUGUUAGGGAGGGGUGUAGGCACAGCAUAAGCACCCAUACAUUGUGAUUCUGUUUCUGGAUGAUUACCAGCGUAUAGCCACACUGGGACAUUAGAUCAGGGAUAGUGUGUCUGAGGAAGCUAACAUGCCUGUCCACAGGCCCUGAAAAAGGGGAGUGUCAGAAUAGCUUCUUAACACAUAAAUGUGCAAACUUGACUAACUAGAUUUAGUAUCUUGAGACGCCCUCAACUUUUCUUCUAUAUGCUUCUUCUAAGUACUUCUCAGAGAAUUCUACAUUCACCUGCAAAUGUCUAGAAAUGUGAGGUGAUUAAUUCUGUGUUGUCAUGCUUUCCUGUUACUGAUUUGGCUACUACAGAGCACAUUUCCUUUUGUACGUACUGAGUCAGUGGAGUUGAGAGAAGUAUUACCAGGGAUGUGUCAGAGACAUAGUGGGUAAGUGUAUAUAAAUGAAAAGGUUUAGUUUCCUUGUUAUUUUGUAUGAUGAUCUCUCAGUGGGCCUUUUUUUUACGUUUAUGUAUAAUUAUAAUAUAAAGUUAUUGCUGUUAUUCUACUACUGGGUUGAAAUGCGUAAUGAGAGCUAAACUCUAGGUGCUUUAUAUUUAUUGCCUCAAAUUCUUAGUAACCCAAGAUGGGUGGCUUUAUUGAUGAGGAAUCUAGCUCAAAAAAAAUGUUCUAGGUCAUGAAGGCUAGAUUUGAAAUCAUUUGGUCUGAAAUCUUUAAAUUGGUUUAUACUCUGUUGUCUCUUCUGUUCAGGAUUAUAGACAUAGGAAAUUAGUGACAAGUGUUUAGAUUGUUCUGUGGCAAUAUGAAACAUCCUUCCCAAAACCGGAGUAUGUUCUGGGGAUCCCUGGAUGUUCCUAUAUGUUGCUGAUAGUUUAAGUUAUAGGUGCACAGUGUGAUGAGAUCAGAGAUGUCAUCGUGCCCCAUGGCCCUCCCCACCCACUGUCAUGCUCUUGUUUAA